AACAAAUUUUAACUAGGUAAGAACCGACCGUAUCAUACAUUGAAUCAUUGAUACACAGUAAAUUUAAACUAGGUAAGUCUGUUAUUUAAUUUUAUGAUUGUAUGAUCUA
Molecule: small RNA, 109 nt
Filed under: Arabidopsis thaliana (thale cress)
Lineage: Eukaryota; Viridiplantae; Streptophyta; Magnoliopsida; Brassicales; Brassicaceae
Description: ATSL068710
Source: RNAcentral